This 301-nucleotide ribosomal RNA is filed under the name uncultured bacterium. RNAcentral's name for it is "partial 16S ribosomal RNA". It matches the Rfam family "Bacterial small subunit ribosomal RNA", at positions 509 to 807 of the family's 1533-position model. The record is from RNAcentral.
CAGUAGCCGCGGGAAUACGAAGGGUGCAAGCGUUAUUCGGAAUUACUGGGCGUAAAGCGUGCGUAGGUGGUGGUUUAAGUCCGUUGUGAAAGCCCUGGGCUCAACCUGGGAAUUGCAGUGGAUACUGGGUCACUAGAGUGUGGUAGAGGAUAGUGGAAUUUCCGGUGUAGCAGUGAAAUGCGUAGAGAUCGGAAGGAACAUCUGUGGCGAAGGCGACUAUCUGGGCCAACACUGACACUGAGGCACGAAAGCGUGGGGAGCAAACAGGAUUAGAUACCCCCGUAGUCCCUGUCUCUUAUAC